UGCGUAGGCGGCCGUACAAGUCUGGCGUGAAAGCCCCGGGCUCAGCCCGGGAAGUGCGCUCGAAACUGCACGGCUCGAGUGCCGGAGGGGAGAGUGGAAUUCCUGGUGUAGCGGUGAAAUGCGUAGAUAUCAGGAGGAAUACCGGCGGCGAAAGCGACUCUCUGGACGGCAACUGACGCUGAGGCACGAAAGCGUGGGAGCAAACA
RNAcentral lists this ribosomal RNA (206 nucleotides) under uncultured bacterium. Its description in RNAcentral is "partial 16S ribosomal RNA". It matches the Rfam family "Bacterial small subunit ribosomal RNA", at positions 568 to 774 of the family's 1533-position model. The record is from RNAcentral.